GAAAUGCGAUAAGUAGUGUGAAUUGCAGAAUUCAGUGAAUCAUCGAAUCUUUGAACGCACAUUGCGCCCUUUGGUAUUCCAAAGGGCAUGCCUGUUCGAGCGUCAUUUGUACACUCAAGCUUUGCUUGGUGUUGGGCGUCUUGUCUCUAGCUUUGCUGGAGACUCGCCUUAAAGUAAUUGGCAGCCGGCCUACUGGUUUCGGAGCGCAGCACAAGUCGCACUCUCUAUCAGCAAAGGUCUAGCAUCCAUUAAGCCUUUUUUCAACUUUUGACCUCGGAUCAGGUAGGGAUACCCGCUGAACUUAAGC
RNAcentral lists this unclassified non-coding RNA (307 nucleotides) under plant metagenome. Its description in RNAcentral is "partial contains 5.8S ribosomal RNA, internal transcribed spacer 2, and large subunit ribosomal RNA". The stretch from base 1 to 105 matches the Rfam family "5.8S ribosomal RNA", at positions 50 to 154 of the family's 154-position model. The record is from RNAcentral.